ACUCAUUUACACCCUUUGACGUAUAAAUACGUCAAUUAGUGCAUAGCCGCUCCCUCCCCAUGCCGUAUUAAUACGUCAAUCACGUUUUUUCAUGGGGGAGGGUGCAAGAGAGUCUGAUGCAACUUCUCACCACAGGAUUAGGCUUGACGGCAAUGUUAAAUAGCAAAAAAAAAAUGGACAUCGGGUGGCAGUAGUGCAAAAAUCAACCAGCAUCACGCCGCAGAAGUAGUAGAAAGGGCGUACAGUGAUGGAGGGGCGUAUGUGGAUUGUGGUUUGGAACAUUAGCAACUAGCAACGAUGGAGAAAAGGAAAUAUCUAACUAAAAAUGAAUUUUUUUCUGUAUAAAAGCGUCCUCGAAACAAAACAACAAAGGAGAUGGUGUUUGUGUGGAAGAGAAAAUGACGCUUCGGUCACGUAAUCGAAAGCGGCACCCAUCAAACGAACGUCGGCCUGCACAAACAUGGCAUGCUACACGCGGCCCGCAUAGCUCACGCCGAGAUUCGAGUUCAUCUGAUGAAGAUGAACAUGCUCCACGUCAGCGAUCAUCGCUUGGCAGAGCGUUUUUUUGCCUCCCGAUGCCCCACAUCACCCACAAAUCAUCUCCCCGGCGACUUCCAGUGAUGACGGCAAAGAGGCUGCAUUGCUUCGCAUGGCCGACGCCGGGCACACGUCAGCGAUUCGUUGGAAUCGUCUCGUAAUGACGACGACGAAAACGCUGAAUUGGAGAGUGAUUUGGAUCCCGAUAUGUCGGACGAAUACGUGCCUUCGGACAUAACGGAAAGCAGCUGAGAGUCCUGAGCCAGAGCCGCUGGAACGAGGAGAUUGUCCAACCAGAAGCCAAAAGAUGAUGAAUGACUCCUUGCUUUGGUGGUGGAAAGAAAGAUACCGCGGUGUAAAUAAAAUUAUUGUACCUCACUCUGCAGCAAGAUAUAUUUGCAACUUUUUAUGUUUCUAUAAUUUAUACAGUAGGUCGUGCAUCUGGACGUGGUGGGAUGAAUCAAUGUGGUGACAAACUGGAUGGAAGCCAAAAAACAUCUUCUCCACAGCUGCACUUUUGUUCAUAGUUCAAUAGUUUUGUUGUGUGCAAAUAAAUUAUUUUGCUACAAAAA
Long non-coding RNA from Hippocampus zosterae (dwarf seahorse), 1109 nucleotides. RefSeq lists it as uncharacterized. NCBI's taxonomy places the organism in Eukaryota, Metazoa, Chordata, Actinopteri, Syngnathiformes, Syngnathidae. The record is from RefSeq and is a predicted model, not a curated record. The transcript is spliced from 2 exons.